Molecule: ribosomal RNA, 400 nt
Filed under: uncultured bacterium
Lineage: Bacteria
Description: bacterial SSU rRNA
Rfam family: Bacterial small subunit ribosomal RNA
Source: RNAcentral
UAGGGAAUAUUGGACAAUGGGCGAAAGCCUGAUCCAGCAACGCCGCGUGCGCGAUGACGGCCUUCGGGUUGUAAAGCGCUUUUAGGAGAGAUGAGAAAGGACAGUAUCUCCAGAAUAAGCCUCGGCGAACUACGUGCCAGCAGCCGCGGUAAAACGUAGGAGGCAAGCGUUAUCCGGAUUUAUUGGGCGUAAAGCGUGUGCAGGCGGUUUAGCAAGUUGGAUGUGAAAGCUCCCGGCUUAACUGGGAGAGGUCGUUCAAAACUGCUAGACUAGAGAAUGGAAGAGGGAGUGGAAUUCCGGGUGUAGUGGUGAAAUGCGUAGAUAUCCGGAGGAACACCAGUGGCGAAAGCGGCCUCCUAGGCCAUUUCUGACGCUAAGACACGAAAGCUAGGGUAGCAAA